CCUACGGGAGGCAGCAGUGAGGAAUAUUGGUCAAUGGACGCAAGUCUGAACCAGCCAUGCCGCGUGCAGGAAGACGGCUCUAUGAGUUGUAAACUGCUUUUGUACGAGGGUAAACGCAGAUACGCGUAUCUGUCUGAAAGUAUCGUACGAAUAAGGAUCGGCUAACUCCGUGCCAGCAGCCGCGGUAAUACGGAGGAUUCAAGCGUUAUCCGGAUUUAUUGGGUUUAAAGGGUGCGUAGGCGGUCGGAUAAGUUAGAGGUGAAAUCCCGAGGCUCAACUUCGGAAUUGCCUCUGAUACUGGUCGGCUAGAGAGUAGUUGCGGUAGGCGGAAUGUGUGGUGUAGCGGUGAAAUGCUUAGAGAUCAUACAGAACACCGAUUGCGAAGGCAGCUUACCAAACUAUAUCUGACGUUGAGGCACGAAAGCGUGGGUAGCAAACAGGAUUAGAUACCCGAGUAGUC
Molecule: ribosomal RNA, 460 nt
Filed under: uncultured bacterium
Lineage: Bacteria
Description: partial 16S ribosomal RNA
Rfam family: Bacterial small subunit ribosomal RNA
Source: RNAcentral